RNAcentral lists this ribosomal RNA (433 nucleotides) under uncultured bacterium. RNAcentral describes it as "partial 16S ribosomal RNA". It matches the Rfam family "Bacterial small subunit ribosomal RNA", at positions 29 to 507 of the family's 1533-position model. The record is from RNAcentral.
AACGAACGCUGGCGGCAUGCCUAACACAUGCAAGUCGAACGAGACCUUCGGGUCUAGUGGCGCACGGGUGCGUAACGCGUGGGAACCUGCCCUUAGGUUCGGAAUAACUCCCCGAAAGGGGUGCUAAUACCGGAUAAUGCCUUCGGACCAAAGAUUUAUCGCCUUUGGAUGGGCCCGCGUUGGAUUAGCUAGUUGGUAGGGUAAAAGCCUACCAAGGCGACGAUCCAUAGCUGGUCUGAGAGGAUGAUCAGCCACACUGGGACUGAGACACGGCCCAGACUCCUACGGGAGGCAGCAGUGGGGAAUAUUGGACAAUGGGCGAAAGCCUGGUCCAGCAAUGCCGCGUGAGUGAUGAAGGCCUUAGGGUUGUAAAGCUCUUUUACCCGGGAUGAUAAUGACAGUACCGGGAGAAUAAGCUCCGGCUAACUCCGUG